UAUGUAGAUUUUGAUUAUGAACUUGUACCCAAAGUUUUAUUUUAGCUUAGGGUUUAGCUAUAUAGCCUAUUUAUAUGUAAUUUAUUUAAAAGUUAAGACUUAAAUAGUCUUAUUGAUGUGGCAGUAUGUAAAAUUAAGUAUUAAGUGGCCUUAGACUUAGGGAUUUAUUUAAGUACAAACACAACUUGUGCCAGCAGUUGCGGUUACACAAGUUGUACAAGUUAAAUUUAUUUAAUUUAAUUAAAUGUGUAAUAUUUUAAGUUAUUAAAAAAUUUAUUAGGUGGAAUUUUAAAUUUUUUAUAAUUUAAUUCAGUGUUUUUGAAGUUAAAAAAUUUCAGUAUAAACUAGGAUUAGAUACCCUAUUAUUAGAAGUGUAGUCUUAAAUUUAAAAUUACUAAUAGUUAUGGUCUUUAAAAUUAAAAAAUUUGGCGGUAUUUUAGUCUUUUCAGAGGAACCUGUUUUUUAAUUGAUAGUCCACGAUAAUCUUUACUUUAAAUUUUAAUUUGUAUAUCGUCGUAGCUUGAACAUUUUAGGAGAAUUAUAAUGUUCAAUUGGUUUAAUUUUAAGAGAAUUCAGAUCAAGGUGCAGUUUAUUUUGAAGUUAAAAUGGGUUACAUUAUAAGUAUAUUUAGUCUUAGGUCUUAAAAGCUUGGGUAAAUUGGAUUUGAAAGUAAUUUUAUAUUUUUAUUUAAAAUGACUAUGCUCUAAAAUAUGCACAUAUCGCCCGUCGCUUUCAUUUAAUAUGAAAUAAGUCGUAACAAAGUAGGCUUAUUGGAAAAUGAGCCUAGAAUG
Molecule: non-coding RNA, 791 nt
Filed under: Meloe poggii
Lineage: Eukaryota; Metazoa; Arthropoda; Insecta; Coleoptera; Meloidae
Source: RNAcentral